AGGAUUAGAUACCUGGUAGUCACGCGUAAACGAUGAGUGCUAAGUGUUAGGGGGUUCCGCCCUUUAGUGCUGCAGCUAACGCAUUAAGCACUCCGCUGGGGAGUACGACCGCAAGGUUGAAACUCAAAGGAAUUGACGGGGGCCCGCACAAGCGGUGGAGCAUGUGGUUUAAUUCGAAGCAACGCGAAGAACCUUAUCAGGUCUUGACAUCCUUUGACCACUCUAGAGAUAGAGCUUUCCCUCCGGGGACAAAGUGACAGGUGGUGCAUGGUUGUCGUCAGCUCGUGUCGUGAGAUGUUGGGUUAAGUCCCGCAACGAGCGCAACCCUUAUUGUUAGUUGCCAUCAUUCAGUUGGGCACUCUAGCGAAACUGCCGGUGACAAACCGGAGGAAGGUGGGGAUGACGUCAAAUCAUCAUGCCCCUUAUGACCUGGGCUACACACGUGCUACAAUGGACAGUACAAUGAGCAGCGACACGGCGACGUGAAGCGAAUCUCAUAAAGCUGUUCUCAGUUCGGAUUGUAGGCUGCAACUCGCCUACAUGAAGCCGGAAUCGCUAGUAAUCGCGGAUCAGCACGCCGCGGUGAAUACGUUCCCGGGCCUUGUACACACCGCCCGUCACACCACGAAAGUUUGUAACACCCAAAGUCGGUGAGGUAACCUUCGGGAGCCAGCCGCCUAAGGUGGGAUAGAUGAUUGGGGUGAAGUCGUAACAAGGUAACCA
This 723-nucleotide ribosomal RNA is filed under the name uncultured Vagococcus sp. RNAcentral describes it as "bacterial SSU rRNA". It matches the Rfam family "Bacterial small subunit ribosomal RNA", at positions 774 to 1502 of the family's 1533-position model. Lineage: Bacteria; Bacillati; Bacillota; Bacilli; Lactobacillales; Enterococcaceae. The record is from RNAcentral.